This 553-nucleotide ribosomal RNA is filed under the name uncultured archaeon. RNAcentral's name for it is "bacterial SSU rRNA". It matches the Rfam family "Archaeal small subunit ribosomal RNA", at positions 326 to 879 of the family's 1478-position model. The record is from RNAcentral.
CGGGGUGCACCAGGCGCGAAAACUUUACAAUGCCGGCAACGGCGAUAAGGGAACCUCGAGUGCCAGGUUACAAAUCUGGCUGUCGUGAUGCCUAAAAAGCAUUGCAUAGCAAGGGCCGGGCAAGACCGGUGCCAGCCGCCGCGGUAACACCGGCGGCUCGAGUGGUAACCGUUAUUAUUGGGUCUAAAGGGUCUGUAGCCGGCCGGGUAAGUCUCUUGGGAAAUCUGGCAGCUUAACUGUCAGGCUUUCAGGAGAUACUGCCUGGCUCGAGGCCGGGAGAGGUGAGUGGUACUUCAGGGGUAGGGGUGAAAUCUUGUAAUCCUUGAAGGACCACCAGUGGCGAAGGCGUCUCACCAGAACGGACCUGACGGCAAGGGACGAAAGCUAGGGGCACGAACCGGAUUAGAUACCCGGGUAGUCCUAGCCGUAAACGAUACUCGCUAGGUGUCGGCCACGGUGCGACCGUGGUCGGUGCCGUAGGGAAGCCGUGAAGCGAGCCACCUGGGAAGUACGGCCGCAAGGCUGAAACUUAAAGGAAUUGGCGGGGGAGCAC